GCAGCCGCCGCGGUAAUACGAAGGGUGCAAGCGUUAAUCGGAAUUACUGGGCGUAAAGCGUGCGUAGGUGGUGGUUUAAGUCCGUUGUGAAAGCCCUGGGCUCAACCUGGGAAUUGCAAUGGAUACUGGGUCACUAGAGUGUGGUAGAGGGUAGUGGAAUUUCCGGUGUAGCAGUGAAAUGCGUAGAGAUCGGAAGGAACAUCUGUGGCGAAGGCGACUAUCUGGGCCAACACUGACACUGAGGCACGAAAGCGUGGGGAGCAAACAGGAUUAGAUACCCCUGUAGUCCCUGUCUCUUAUAC
RNAcentral lists this ribosomal RNA (302 nucleotides) under uncultured bacterium. RNAcentral describes it as "partial 16S ribosomal RNA". It matches the Rfam family "Bacterial small subunit ribosomal RNA", at positions 508 to 807 of the family's 1533-position model. The record is from RNAcentral.